This is a long non-coding RNA of Alligator mississippiensis (American alligator), 3720 nucleotides long. RefSeq lists it as uncharacterized. NCBI's taxonomy places the organism in Eukaryota, Metazoa, Chordata, Crocodylia, Alligatoridae. The record is from RefSeq and is a predicted model, not a curated record. The transcript is spliced from 5 exons.
UUACACAUUACACUGUGAACCACGCAGCCAAGUGGCAGUGCUAGCUUGAGUUUGGAGGCAGUCACAUGUUCAGGCCAGCAGGGGCCUGGAAGACUUGCAAGUAUACAUCCUGCUAACAGUCUGGAAAAUACCAUUGUUCCAAGAGUUAAGAAUCUGGGACAUUUAUAUGAAGAUGUCUGGAAAUACACGGGAAAUAGGAGAAAGGAAUGAGACAGAAAACGAUCCAUCUGCUUUUGUUAGAUGAUCUCUGCAAAUUGGUGCACCCUGAUCGGACGCAAGGAAUACCAUCAAUAUACUCAAUCACCUCCAACAAAUAACCAUGAAGUCAACAGUAGUGGAAAAGGUGAUGGUAACUGCGUGCCAAAUACCAUUAUGGCAGAGGGUUCAAGCUGCUCCCUGAAUUCCAGGACAGUUAUCUAGAGAUAAUACUACUGACAAGUAAUGACAAGAGGUGGAGGGAAGGCACCUGUAUGCAAAGUGGACCACUGAAGUCAAACUUGGCAGAAGUAAAGGAACAGCUCUGUUUUCUCAACUGUCAUUCACUGAAAACAACGGUCCACAAAGGAUGUUCCUAAUGAAUCCAAUCACAGGGACUCGGGGGAAACAAGGGGACCUGGCAACAACUGUGAAAGUAAUUCCUUGUUUAGAGACCUCUGUGCGCUGGCAAAGGCAAUGCAGGAAAUCCAGUAGCACAGACAUCUCAGAAUCACACAAAGUGGAAGAGCACCAUUUAGUAAUUGCCUAGAAAUUUCAAAGACUAAAUGAAAAAUAGAAUUCAGAUUGUUUGGCUCCAGCUCUCAAGAUCUAGACACACCUUUUAUAUUUGGGAUCCAACCAAUGCAAACCGCAUUAGUGCAACUUCCGUGCCUGCCCCUGGUGACCUCAGGAAGCAUGAGCAGAGAACAACUUCAGUUCAUCUACAGGAAAUGGUUAAUUGGAAAUGAUGAGGCUCCAGGAAAGUCCUAUAUAACCAGAUUUAUUGAUUGAUUAAGAGCUAGAAGAUUGAUCUUCUCAGCAAGAAAUGGAGCAGCUGGAAAGAAAUAGUAUGUCUCCAAAGCGAUCACUAUUGCUGCAGGAUGUCUAUCUCUGUGCUGCGACCCUAAUGGUGUGAAGAAGUCUACAGAGUCUGUGAUGCUGGCUCAGGUAUCCCGGCCUAGAGUUGCAGCUGUCCAAUCGUGUGCAUAUGUUCUGCAGCCUUCAGCUCCAAGCCUGCACAGCCUACUGCAAAUCCACAUCCCAAUGGUGCAAACACCCUGAUGAGGCAUGCAAGCCCUGAGCAAACCCUUCAGCACCUUUACAAAAAAAAUUCCAGUUUCUGCUAUAAACUAAAUUUCAAGCUGUGCUAGCUGUAGAGAAAAAGUAGAAAACUUGAGCAUUAAAAACUUAAAAUCAGAAGGCAAAUUAGGAUGAUUUUUAUAAUUUUUGAGAUGUAUUAUUUUUAAACCACUUUCAUGCUUUCUGUGAUCCUGACUCAAGAUUUUGAAAACUUGCAGUUAGUAAUAACAAUCAAGAGCUUGAUUUAGCAGUCUGAUAUCACCUGUUUAAAUUAGGCUGUCAGCUACACAAAAUCUAUGCUUGAGUCAGUUAGUCUAAGGUGCCACCAUGCCAUGCUUUGUGCCUGGUUUCACACUAAAAUAUCUAGCUAUCAUUGUCCUUUCAGUUACUUUAUUUAUGGUUCAUUCAGCCAUAUUCCUAAGUUUUUGUCCCAGACUUCUCCAACUGCUGCUUCCUAGGUUCUUCAUAACUUCCGUUCUUAUAAAACAAUAAUCUCUCUCUAGCUGAGAGGAAGGCAACUCAUUUUAUGCCAGGUAUUGGGCCAGCUGCUUGUCACUUCACCUUGGAGAUUGUAUGCUCCAGGUGAUACUUUACUUGAGGGCUCCUUAUCUCAGUUCUGUGUGAGUUUAGAAAGGGGUCCCCCUCCCGUCACCACCGGUCUUUUGUAUAGUUCUUUCUGGCUCAAGACCAAUAGCUUCCCUGCCUCAAUUGUUUAUGGAAGAUCUUUGGGUGGAUGCCACUUUAUGAUGUCAUCUGUGUAGCAUGAACUGAACUAAUGUAGCUAAUGUUAACAUAGAGUGUAAUAAUAGUAAAAUAUAACCAUGUUAGUCUUGUCCUGUAAGCAACUUGAAAACUCCAUUUUGUAUCCUUCUGCUUGACGUAAGUGAAUGAACUCUGCAUGGCCUUUAUGUACAAGUGUGUGUGAAAGGGUGAAUGGUGAGAGAAUGGCAUAGAGACAGGAGAAAAAAAAAUUAACUGUUUAUGUAAGCAACAAGGCAUCAAAUUUAAGUUAUCAUUCAGUAAACUAAUUAAUGAAUGGCUGAAGAAUCCCUUUGAAGCUUACGGGCACAGAGAAAAUAACAGAAGAAGAAAUUCUGCCAGACGGGCAACAAGAACACUCCAAGGCUAAGAUAGCUGAAGACAAAAGAAGAACAACCACAAAAACAGAAGCUGGGUAUGAAAAAAUCCCAAAGCCCUGAAACAAAGGAUGUCAAUCCCUAUAAAACAGGCUUGUCCAACAUAUGGCCUGCCAUUUUCUUAGGCCCAAGGUGCUGCGAUGAGAAACAAAAGUAAACACUGCUUGCUUUCGUUCCCACCCCUUGUCCCUCCCCCAGCCCCACAGCAGCUUCCUAAUGGCUGCUGAAGGGCUGGGGAAGGGACAAGGUUCCCACAUGCACCGCAUCAAAUUGACGUUGCCGACAUGGUAUGGCUCCUCCCCUCCCCCUUCAUUUCACAGUGUCUCUUCCUAGCCCCACCCCUCCCUUCCUCAUUUGCAUACCAGCCCCGCCCUGCGCUGGUCCCCACCGGCCGCAUGGGCUGGAGCAGGUCUCAGUGCAGCAGGCGGGCGGGUGUGGGGGGCAUGGAUGCCAGCUCGGAGGGAUGCUGUGGCUGGGCCCACGGGAGAUGUUGCUGCCACUGCUGCUGUGGCUGUGGCUAUCAGGUCGGGAAGCUGGCACCGCUCCCACCUCCCCGCAUCCCCCUGCGCAUGCAGACAUUGCACUGGGGAUAGUGAGUCAUGGGCCCCAGGGAGGGAAGGAGCCCUGUCAGUCGGGCUCGGGCUCAGGCUGCCCCUGGGGAGUGGGAGCAGGGGGUUGUCCCUGCAUGUCCCAUACCUCCCUGUAGGAUCCCUGCGUGUCCUCCUGGCUGCUGAGCCCAGGCGCGCAGGUGUGGGAGCAUCAUUGAGGCCACCCAGGUGGCAGGGAGGACACAGAGGGGUCAGGUGGCGCCCCUUGACCCCUGUACCCCCAGGCCGUACAAGCACCUGCUCCUGCUGGUGCACUGGGUGAUAAAAAGUUCAUGAUCCAUGCUCACAAUCAAAAAGGUUGGACACCCCUGCUAUAAAAGAACACUUUGAAAAUGCCAAGUUGGGUGAGUCCCUUUCUCUACUGCAGUUUCAUCGGAGCACAGAUGCAUCUGUUCACCCGCUCCAGCUGUUAUCUUUAAAUCUGCUAUCUUCAAAUCAUCAUCAAUUGCUCAAUAAACCUGAGUUAGCCACCCUGGGCUGAUAUUGAGCAACUAUUGCUGGUAACUAUAUCUGGUGUAUGUGUGGAUGAAAUGGUUGUUUUGUGUAUGUGUAUGCCUCUGUGUAAUGAUGUGUAUGAUGAUUUGUGUGUGUUUGUAUGAAUGGUGUGCCCGAACCUCUAUGUCUAACUCAUGUAAUCAAUAAACAUGGCACCUUGCCUUAUUCCCCUUUAUAAAGUCUCACUCAUGAUUUGAGCAAUUGGC